UACGUAGGGUGCAAGCGUUGUCCGGAAUUAUUGGGCGUAAAGAGCUCGUAGGCGGUUUGUCGCGUCUGCUGUGAAAACCCGAGGCUCAACCUCGGGCCUGCAGUGGGUACGGGCAGACUAGAGUGCGGUAGGGGAGAUUGGAAUUCCUGGUGUAGCGGUGGAAUGCGCAGAUAUCAGGAGGAACACCAAUGGCGAAGGCAGAUCUCUGGGCCGUAACUGACGCUGAGGCACGAAAGCGUGGGGAGCAAACAGG
This 253-nucleotide ribosomal RNA is filed under the name uncultured bacterium. RNAcentral's name for it is "partial 16S ribosomal RNA". It matches the Rfam family "Bacterial small subunit ribosomal RNA", at positions 524 to 776 of the family's 1533-position model. The record is from RNAcentral.